CAGCAGAUGAAUUGUCACUUACAUAAAAUUUCAGACAAGAGAAAAAUGGACCUUUGAACAAUUUCUGCAACAUAUAAGAUGUAACGUAUAUCGAGGGAGUGGAGUAGUUAUUCCUCUUCUGAGGCAUGUGGCUUCAGGAAGAAAACAGUGCAUCACAUGCAAGCAGACCCUGAUUGUUCUGACCCGGACCAUGCAGCAGUGAGAAAGAACUGGAGACAGUCGGUCUGCCCUGUCCUUUAUCACCUCAGACAAAACCAUGGGGUAUGUGCAUGGACCAAUAGACACUACUUUUAAAUCCUCUGGCUCCAGAUGCAUGGUGCACAUAUGCAAAACCUUUGUGGAAUACAAUAGGGACCCUCACUCGAAGAACCACCAUCACUGGCCUCUCCUCUUAGG
Molecule: long non-coding RNA, 396 nt
Organism: Mauremys reevesii (Reeves's turtle)
Lineage: Eukaryota; Metazoa; Chordata; Testudines; Geoemydidae
Exons: 3
Source: RefSeq, a predicted model, not a curated record